RNAcentral lists this ribosomal RNA (216 nucleotides) under Glomeromycotina sp. Its description in RNAcentral is "partial small subunit ribosomal RNA". The stretch from base 40 to 216 matches the Rfam family "Eukaryotic small subunit ribosomal RNA", at positions 686 to 864 of the family's 1831-position model. The record is from RNAcentral. Lineage: Eukaryota; Fungi; Glomeromycota.
GGGUCAGUAGGUUGGUCGUGCCACCGGUACGUACUGGUCUCACUGAUUCCUCCUUCCUGAAGAACCGUAAUGCCAUUAAUUUGGUGUUGCGGGGAAACAGGACUGUUACUUUGAAAAAAUUAGAGUGUUUAAAGCAAGCUAACGCUCGAAUACAUUAGCAUGGAAUAAUGAAAUAGGACGAUCGAUCCUAUUUUAUUGGUUUCUAGGAUUGACGUA